Molecule: long non-coding RNA, 1310 nt
Organism: Mauremys reevesii (Reeves's turtle)
Lineage: Eukaryota; Metazoa; Chordata; Testudines; Geoemydidae
Exons: 8
Source: RefSeq, a predicted model, not a curated record
CAUAACCUCUAGAUGUGACUGUUGAGAGCUUUUCUUAUUAUAGUCUAGCUUCUUUACAUGAGUUUGAAAUCCGAUUGAAUUGCAAAUUAUAUUAGUAACUAUGGAAUAUAUGAAGAGUUUGGGGUCUUCUGUCAUUGAAAUAAUCAAAGCCAAGAAUAAGCGUGAAAUGUUGGAGCAAAAAAUGGACGACCUACUGAGUCAUCAGAGACAAUUUGUCGAAAAUAAUCGUCGGUCCUUAGAACAGAAAAUAAAAGAAAAGGAAAAGGAAGUGUUUGGUCAGCUACAUGACUUACUGACAGGGGAUCUGCCGUGCGACCAGAUGAACCAGGACUUGCAGCAAGCCAACGACGCUCUAUGAGCAGAACUCGACAAAAUCUAUUCAUGACUAAUAUUUAAGUUUCAGAGUAGCAGCCGUGUUAGAAAUCCAUCAGCUGCAAGAAGAACUGAAAACAGCUUAACAGUUUCUGAAGGAGACCCAGAAUUAUGCGGAAGAGAUGAAAAUCUAGACAAUCUGAAGGCUUUAGAUCAACUGAAGAAGCAAAAUGGAUUCGCUCACAGUAAACUGAAGACAUGGAUGCAAUCCUGUGCUGAUGAGGUGGCACAUUCACUGACCCAGGACAACGAGCAAGAGUAUGAGCCAGACGGACUCCCGGAGCUGGUCAGAAAAGGCUUUGCUGAUAUUCCUACUGGGAAAACCAACCUCUGUGUUUUGCGCAGAACAGCGCUAAACCUAAAGACCAGUCCCCGUCUUGCUGCUCAAAGCCAAAAUUUGUCACCAUAUGGCCAACGUUUACAGAAAGGCAGGUCAGAUAAUUUUGCCAAGAUCUCUAAACCGACAGCUGGUGGCAGCAAAUCACCAAAGGUAGAUGAUACUCAACGGUGCCAAGCAGAAACAACUAUUGAACCCAUGGAAUCUCGUUCAAGAUCUCCUCUUUGCAUAAAUAAGCAACCCACAAAAGCUGUUGCUGAGACCUCUAGGGAGAAUCUUAACACACACAAAGGCAGAUGUUCCUUCAGCAGAAAAACAUUACCUGAUCGGAAUGAACAAGACAAAAACUGUAUGGUACAGUAAACCUGAGUAGUAUAGGUAGUAUACCAUGAAACAAACCCUAACCGCACCCUUUGACCCCUUAAACUCUGCCACUUGACCCCUUAAACCCCACCCACCUAUCACCAAAAGUCCCGCUCCGGGGGGUAUUACUCCCAGGGUCAAGAUGCCACAUGACCAGAAGCAAGGUGUGUCAUGUGACCAUCCUCUACCAAUCAGGAAGGGUUUCAGCCGCUGGGGACCACCCCGAGAGGAGAUUUGA